This is a non-coding RNA of Chiloscyllium plagiosum (whitespotted bambooshark), 315 nucleotides long. NCBI's taxonomy places the organism in Eukaryota, Metazoa, Chordata, Chondrichthyes, Orectolobiformes, Hemiscylliidae. The record is from RefSeq and is a predicted model, not a curated record.
GGCAAGUCCCCUUUAAAAAUGCAAGAGAAUAGCACCUCAUGAAGCUGAAAGAUCUAAUUCCAGAAAGGAAGCACUGUGACAAAGGGGAACCAGUUAUUACAUUCAGCAUAUCUACAUUUGAGUUUUAUUUGAAAUAUUCCACUGCAGGUAUCGUAUGAUGUCAACGGAUUUUGUGAGCGCAACCGAGAUGUCCUCUUCACCGAUUUGAUAGAGCUCAUGCAAACCAGUGAAUUCCCCUUCAUUCAAAUGCUGUUUUCAGAAAAUCUACAGAAUGAGAAGAAAGGCAGGCCAACUACUGCAAGCAUGAAGAUUAAG